RNAcentral lists this long non-coding RNA (580 nucleotides) under Pogona vitticeps (central bearded dragon). Its description in RNAcentral is "lncRNA (ENSPVIG00000011029.1)". The record is from RNAcentral. Lineage: Eukaryota; Metazoa; Chordata; Lepidosauria; Squamata; Agamidae.
UUGUUUUUAUUUUUUGACAUUUCAGAAGCCAUGCUGGAAUGUCAAAAAAAAGGACUUUAAAAAGCUUGGUUUAAUAAUCAAUGUGAUUACUGCAUUGUGCAGCAACCAGAAGAUGGCAUGACUGUAAAAUAAAACAGCCUCCCACAGCCAGGUCCCUUGGCUAGGGGUUAUUUUUAACACACACACACAUACACAAGUUACUACUGUACCUGCUCCCUAUGUUGCCGGAUGAGAACACCCCAUCGCCCCUGCCUCCCAGAACAAUGCCGAGCAAAGUGGGCGCUCUCCAAUGUCAUUACUGCCGAAAUAUCAAGAGUGAUAACACUUGUAAUCAUAAGGAAAGCACUUGCAAUACAGGAAUAAAAAAUUACUGUUACACGGAAAUAACUGCUAAAGGCUUUUCUAUAACACAUGUGCGACGAGGCUGCAGCAGCGCUUGUCAAAGCGGCAGGCACAGGACAGAUGUGUAUGAGAAAGCGAUGCUGUGUUGCAACAGAAAUCUCUGUAAUGAUCACAAAAUAUGGGACGGCAAUAAAUAAAUGCUUUUUAAAAAUCAAUAAAUAUUUACCAGGGUGGAGCA